AGCGAACGCUGGCGGCAGGCUUAACACAUGCAAGUCGAACGGGCUUCUUCGGAAGUCAGUGGCAGACGGGUGAGUAACACGUGGGAACGUGCCCUUCGGUUCGGAAUAACUCAGGGAAACUUGAGCUAAUACCGGAUACGCCCUUUUGGGGAAAGGUUUACUGCCGAAGGAUCGGCCCGCGUCUGAUUGGCUUGUUGGUGGGGUAACGGCCUACCAAGGCGACGAUCAGUAGCUGGUCUGAGAGGAUGAUCAGCCACACUGGGACUGAGACACGGCCCAGACUCCUACGGGAGGCAGCAGUGGGGAAUAUUGGACAAUGGGCGCAAGCAUGAUCCAGCCAUGCCGCGUGAGUGAUGAAGGCCUUAGGGUUGUAAAGCUCUUUUGUCCGGGACGAUAAUGACGGUACCGGAAGAAUAAGCCCCGGCUAACUUCGUG
Molecule: ribosomal RNA, 435 nt
Filed under: uncultured bacterium
Lineage: Bacteria
Description: partial 16S ribosomal RNA
Rfam family: Bacterial small subunit ribosomal RNA
Source: RNAcentral